RNAcentral lists this ribosomal RNA (1210 nucleotides) under uncultured bacterium. RNAcentral's name for it is "bacterial SSU rRNA". It matches the Rfam family "Bacterial small subunit ribosomal RNA", at positions 202 to 1399 of the family's 1533-position model. The record is from RNAcentral.
AAAGGAUGGUUCUGCUAUCACUCUUGGAUGGACCCUGCGGUGCAUUAGCUAGUUGGUAAGGUAACGGCUUACCAAGGCAAUGAUGCAUAGCCGAGUUGAGAGACUGAUCGGCCACAUUGGGACUGAGACACGGCCCAAACUCCUACGGGAGGCAGCAGUAGGGAAUCUUCCACAAUGGACGAAAGUCUGAUGGAGCAACGCCGCGUGAGUGAAGAAGGGUUUCGGCUCGUAAAGCUCUGUUGGUAGUGAAGAAAGAUAGAGGUAGUAACUGGCCUUUAUUUGACGGUAAUUACUUAGAAAGUCACGGCUAACUACGUGCCAGCAGCCGCGGUAAUACGUAGGUGGCAAGCGUUGUCCGGAUUUAUUGGGCGUAAAGCGAGUGCAGGCGGUUCAAUAAGUCUGAUGUGAAAGCCUUCGGCUCAACCGGAGAAUUGCAUCAGAAACUGUUGAACUUGAGUGCAGAAGAGGAGAGUGGAACUCCAUGUGUAGCGGUGGAAUGCGUAGAUAUAUGGAAGAACACCAGUGGCGAAGGCGGCUCUCUGGUCUGCAACUGACGCUGAGGCUCGAAAGCAUGGGUAGCCCACAAAGUUAGAUACCCUGGUAGUCCAUGCCGUAAACACCCCCAAAGGGUGUUGGGAGGUUUCCGCCUAUCAGUGCUGCAGCUAACGCAUUAAGCACUCCGCCUGGGGAGUACGUCCGCAAGGUUGAAACUCAAAGGAAUUGACGGGGGCCCGCACAAGCGGUGGAGCAAUGUGGUUUAAAUUCGAAGCAACGCGAAGAACCUUACCAGGUCUUGACAUCCAGUGCAAACCUAAGAGAUUAGGUGUUCCCUUCGGGGACGCUGAGACAGGUGGUGCAUGGCUGUCGUCAGCUCGUGUCGUGAGAUGUUGGGUUAAGUCCCGCAAAGAGCGCAACCCUUGUCAUUAGUUGCCAUCAUUAAGUUGGGCACUCUAAUGAGACUGCCGGAGACAAACCGGAGGAAGGUGGGGAUGACGUCAAGUCAUCAUGCCCCUUAUGACCUGGGCUACACACGUGCUGCAAUGGACGGUACAACGAGAAGCGAACCUGCGAAGGCAAGCGGAUCUCUUAAAGCUGUUCUCAGUUCGGACUGUAGGCUGCAACUCGCCUACACGAAGCUGGAAUCGCUAGUAAUCGCGGAUCAGCACGCCGCGGUGAAUACGAACCCGGGCCUUGCACUCUCCGCCCGUCA